Molecule: ribosomal RNA, 497 nt
Filed under: uncultured bacterium
Lineage: Bacteria
Description: partial 16S ribosomal RNA
Rfam family: Bacterial small subunit ribosomal RNA
Source: RNAcentral
GAUGAACGCUGGCGGCGUGCCUAAUACAUGCAAGUCGAGCGAACGGACGAGAAGCUUGCUUCUCUGAUGUUAGCGGCGGACGGGUGAGUAACACGUGGAUAACCUACCUAUAAGACUGGGAUAACUUCGGGAAACCGGAGCUAAUACCGGAUAAUAUUUUGAACCGCAUGGUUCAAAAGUGAAAGACGGUCUUGCUGUCACUUAUAGAUGGAUCCGCGCUGCAUUAGCUAGUUGGUAAGGUAACGGCUUACCAAGGCAACGAUGCAUAGCCGACCUGAGAGGGUGAUCGGCCACACUGGAACUGAAACACGGUCCAGACUCCUACGGGAGGCAGCAGUAGGGAAGCUUCCGCAAUGGACGAAAGCCUGACGGAGCAACGUCGCGUGAGUGAUGAAGGUCUUCGGAUCGUAAAACUCUGUUAUUAGGGAAGAACAUAUGUGUAAGUAACUGUGCACAUCUUGACGGUACCUAAUCAGAAAGCCACGGCUAACUACGUG